GGGGAAUUUUGGACAAUGGGCGAAAGCCUGAUCCAGCCAUGCCGCGUGCAGGAUGAAGGCCUUCGGGUUGUAAACUGCUUUUGUACGGAACGAAAAGGUCUUUUCUAAUAAAGAAGGCUCAUGACGGUACCGUAAGAAUAAGCACCGGCUAACUACGUGCCAGCAGCCGCGGUAAUACGUAGGGUGCAAGCGUUAAUCGGAAUUACUGGGCGUAAAGCGUGCGCAGGCGGUUAUAUAAGACAGAUGUGAAAUCCCCGGGCUCAACCUGGGAACUGCAUUAGUGACUGUAUAGCUAGAGUGCGGCAGAGGGGGAUGGAAUUCCGCGUGUAGCAGUGAAAUGCGUAGAUAUGCGGAGGAACACCGAUGGCGAAGGCAAUCCCCUGGGCCUGCACUGACGCUCAUGCACGAAAGCGUGGGGAGCAAAC
This 425-nucleotide ribosomal RNA is filed under the name uncultured bacterium. Its description in RNAcentral is "bacterial SSU rRNA". It matches the Rfam family "Bacterial small subunit ribosomal RNA", at positions 356 to 773 of the family's 1533-position model. The record is from RNAcentral.